GACGAACGCUGGCGGCGUGCCUAAUACAUGCAAGUUGAGCGCUGAAGGUUGGUACUUGUACCAACUGGAUGAGCAGCGAACGGGUGAGUAACGCGUGGGGAAUCUGCCUUUGAGCGGGGGACAACAUUUGGAAACGAAUGCUAAUACCGCACAAAAACUUUAAACACAAGUUUUAAGUUUGAAAGAUGCAAUUGCAUCACUCAAAGAUGAUCCCGCGUUGUAUUAGCUAGUUGGUGAGGUAAAGGCUCACCAAGGCGAUGAUACAUAGCCGACCUGAGAGGGUGAUCGGCCACAUUGGGACUGAGAAACGGCCCAAACUCCUACGGGAGGCAGCAGUAGGGAAUCUUCGGCAAUGGACGAAAGUCUGACCGAGCAACGCCGCGUGAGUGAAGAAGGUUUUCGGAUCGUAAAACUCUGUUGGUAGAGAAGAACGUUGGUGAGAGUGGAAAGCUCAUCAAGUGACGGUAACUACCCAGAAAGGGACGGCUAACUACGUG
RNAcentral lists this ribosomal RNA (497 nucleotides) under uncultured bacterium. Its description in RNAcentral is "partial 16S ribosomal RNA". It matches the Rfam family "Bacterial small subunit ribosomal RNA", at positions 28 to 507 of the family's 1533-position model. The record is from RNAcentral.